RNAcentral lists this ribosomal RNA (679 nucleotides) under Amanita sp. Its description in RNAcentral is "LSU rRNA". It matches the Rfam family "Eukaryotic large subunit ribosomal RNA", at positions 76 to 741 of the family's 3401-position model. Lineage: Eukaryota; Fungi; Basidiomycota; Agaricomycetes; Agaricales; Amanitaceae. The record is from RNAcentral.
UCCCUUAGUAACUGCGAGUGAAGAGGGAAAAGCUCAAAUUUAAAAUCUGGCAGUGUUUCACUGUCCGAGUUGUAACCUAGAGAAGUGUAACCCGCGCUGGACCGUGUACAAGUCUCCUGGAAUGGAGCAUCACAGAGGGUGAGAAUCCCGUCUUUGACAUGGACUGCCAGUGCAUUGUGGUUGUGCUCUCAACGAGUCGAGUUGUUUGGGAAUGCAGCUCUAAAUGGGUGGUAAAUUCCAUCUAAAGCUAAAUAUUGGCGAGAGACCGAUAGCGAACAAGUACCGUGAGGGAAAGAUGAAAAGAACUUUGGAAAGAGAGUUAAACAGUAUGUGAAAUUGUUGAAAGGGAAACGUUUGAAGUCAGUCAUGUUGGCUGGGGAUCAGCCUGACUUUAUGUUUGGCGUACUUCCUGGUUGACGGGCCAACAUCAGUUUUGACUGCCAGAAAAAGGCCAAGGGAAUGUGGCACCUUUGGGUGUGUUAUAGCUCUUGGUCGUAUGUGGUGAUUGGGACUGAGGAAAGCAGUGCGCCGAAAGGCAGGGUUUCGACCACNUUCGCACUGAGGAUGUUGGCAUAAUGGCUUUAAGCGACCCGUCUUGAAACACGGACCAAGGAGUCUAACAUGCAUGCGAGUGUUUGGGUGGAAAACCCUUACGCGUAAUGAAAGUGAAAGUUGAGAU